Molecule: ribosomal RNA, 406 nt
Filed under: uncultured bacterium
Lineage: Bacteria
Description: partial 16S ribosomal RNA
Rfam family: Bacterial small subunit ribosomal RNA
Source: RNAcentral
AUUGAACGCUGGCGGCAGGCCUAACACAUGCAAGUCGAACGCGUGGCGGACGGGUGAGUAAUGUCUGGGAAACUGCCUGAUGGAGGGGGAUAACUACUGGAAACGGUAGCUAAUACCGCAUAACAUCCGCAGUGACACAAUGGGCUUGGCUUGUUGGUGGGGUAACGGCUCACCAAGGCGACGAUCCCUAGCUGGUCUGAGAGGAUGACGAGCCACACUGGAACUGGGACACGGUCCAGACUCCUACGUGAGUCAGCAGUGGGGAAUAUUGCACAAUGGGCGAAAGCCUGAUGCAGCCAGGCCGCGUGUAUGAAGAAGGCCUUCGGGUUGUAAAGUACUUUCAGCGGGGAGGCGUUACCCGCAGAAGAAGCACCGGCUAACUCCGUGCCAGCAGCCGCGGUAAUUC